UACAGAGACCUCGAGCGUUAUCCGGAUUUAUUGGGCGUAAAGGGUCCGCAGGCGGUCGUGUGCGUCAUAUGUCAAAUCUCUGGGCUCAACCCAGAAUCGGCGUGUGAUACGGCACGACUAGAAGCUGGGAGAGGCACAUGGAAUUACUGGUGUAGCGGUGAAAUGCGUAGAUAUCGGGAGGAACACCUGUGGCGAAAGCGGCGCACUGGACCACAACUGACGCUGAGGCGCGAAAGCUAGGGGAGCAAACAGG
This 253-nucleotide ribosomal RNA is filed under the name uncultured bacterium. Its description in RNAcentral is "partial 16S ribosomal RNA". It matches the Rfam family "Bacterial small subunit ribosomal RNA", at positions 524 to 776 of the family's 1533-position model. The record is from RNAcentral.